RNAcentral lists this ribosomal RNA (433 nucleotides) under uncultured bacterium. RNAcentral describes it as "partial 16S ribosomal RNA". It matches the Rfam family "Bacterial small subunit ribosomal RNA", at positions 29 to 507 of the family's 1533-position model. The record is from RNAcentral.
AACGAACGCUGGCGGCAUACCUAACACAUGCAAGUCGAACGAAGGCUUCGGCCUUAGUGGCGCACGGGUGCGUAACGCGUGGGAAUCUGCCCUUUGCUUCGGAAUAACAGUUAGAAAUGACUGCUAAUACCGGAUGAUGUCGCAAGACCAAAGAUUUAUCGGCAAAGGAUGAGCCCGCGUAGGAUUAGCUAGUUGGUGGGGUAAAGGCCUACCAAGGCGACGAUCCUUAGCUGGUCUGAGAGGAUGAUCAGCCACACUGGGACUGAGACACGGCCCAGACUCCUACGGGAGGCAGCAGUGGGGAAUAUUGGACAAUGAGCGAAAGCCUGAUACAGCAAUGCCGCGUGAGUGAUGAAGGCCUUAGGGUUGUAAAGCUCUUUUAACCGGGAUGAUAAUGACAGUACCGGGAGAAUAAGCGCCGGCUAACUCCGUG